RNAcentral lists this long non-coding RNA (431 nucleotides) under Musa acuminata (dwarf banana). RNAcentral describes it as "long non-coding RNA (MACU_LNC010598)". Lineage: Eukaryota; Viridiplantae; Streptophyta; Magnoliopsida; Zingiberales; Musaceae. The record is from RNAcentral.
CUUAUGAAAAAUGUUUUUUUCUGAAAUGGAUCUGAUGAAAUGAUUCCUGCUUAUGAAUUCCAUCUUGAAAUAUGGAUGAUAGUAUUUUUACUUGCAAAAAUCUGUUACAAACACAUAUCUUGACUCAAAGUAAACUCACAAAUAGCUGGAAUCACAAAUGGCUUUCCUCCUUCAUGCACAAAGGAUUAUAAUUAAAAAAAAGGGGGAAGAAGUAUUCAAAGCAAUCUACGUAUCAUGCCUUCCUUUAUAUGCUUGAUAACUUGCUUAUAUUGUUCUCCUGGUAUCACAACUACCAUGCUUUUUGUUGAUGACAAAGGGGGAGAAAUAUAUGAAUUGAUACUAUAAACACUGAUGCUAUGAUUAUGCCAUGCUUGCAUCACCAAGAGACAUAUAAACAGAUGCCAUGCAUUAAUUUGCAUUAUGCCUUGAGU